GUCGAGCGAACGGACGAGAAGCUUGCUUCUCUGAUGUUAGCGGCGGACGGGUGAGUAACACGUGGAUAACCUACCUAUAAGACUGGGAUAACUUCGGGAAACCGGAGCUAAUACCGGAUAAUAUUUUGAACCGCAUGGUUCAAAAGUGAAAGACGGUCUUGCUGUCACUUAUAGAUGGAUCCGCGCUGCAUUAGCUAGUUGGUAAGGUAACGGCUUACCAAGGCAACGAUGCAUAGCCGACCUGAGAGGGUGAUCGGCCACACUGGAACUGAGACACGGUCCAGACUCCUACGGGAGGCAGCAGUAGGGAAUCUUCCGCAAUGGGCGAAAGCCUGACGGAGCAACGCCGCGUGAGUGAUGAAGGUCUUCGGAUCGUAAAACUCUGUUAUUAGGGAAGAACAUAUGUGUAAGUAACUGUGCACAUCUUGACGGUACCUAAUCAGAAAGCCAUGGCUAACUACGUGCCAGCAGCCGCGGUAAUACGUAGGUGGCAAGCGUUAUCCGGAAUUAUUGGGCGUAAAGCGCGCGUAGGCGGUUUUUUAAGUCUGAUGUGAAAGCCCACGGCUCAACCGUGGAGGGUCAUUGGAAACUGGAAAACUUGAGUGCAGAAGAGGAAAGUGGAAUUCCAUGUGUAGCGGUGAAAUGCGCAGAGAUAUGGAGGAACACCAGUGGCGAAGGCGACUUUCUGGUCUGUAACUGACGCUGAUGUGCGAAAGCGUG
This 720-nucleotide ribosomal RNA is filed under the name uncultured Staphylococcus sp. RNAcentral describes it as "bacterial SSU rRNA". It matches the Rfam family "Bacterial small subunit ribosomal RNA", at positions 61 to 763 of the family's 1533-position model. The record is from RNAcentral. Lineage: Bacteria; Bacillati; Bacillota; Bacilli; Caryophanales; Staphylococcaceae.